AGCAUUGUACUUUAUUUGUUACAUAUUGCCAUUUGUGGUAAGGUGUAAAUACGUUGUUAUUAUGAGCACAUAACUUUUUCUAUGUUGCUAUUAUUUGUAAAGUGAAUGUUAGUAUAUUACUAUUAUGAUAUGAGAUAGAUAUUUGCCAUUAUUCGUAAACAAAAAAUGCAUGUACAUUUUUGUUAUUGGUAAAUUAGAGUAAAUAUAUUUCUAUUAUGUGUGAAAAGUAAAGUAUUAGUAAAAAGAGUAAAAGCCGUUGCUACUUUCUACAAUCUCCCCUAACUUAUAUGCAAGAUUGAAAAUUGCAUUUACCGUUUCUUAUGUUACUAUAUAUGCAGAGUCACGUACUUCAGUUUCUUGGGUUGCACGAUUAAAAAUAGCAAUAGGAGCAGCCGAAGGCCUGGCCUAUUUACAUAAAAGGAACCAACCAGCAUAUAGCCAAUUUAAGACCAAUCUUAUAUUGGUGGAUAAGGAUUUUAAUGCUCGGCUUUCAGAUUUUGCUUUCGUUACUCAAAACUUCCAAUUGGAUGCAUAUUAUUAUGCAGCCCCCGAGUCGUUUUGUUACCAAUCAAACACAUUUGAUGGUCUUCACCCACUGUGGCUACCCGAAGAUGGUUUUGCAAUCAAGAGUGAAGUAUAUGCUUUUGGAGUGGUAUUGUUAGAAAUACUAACAGGGAUGAAGGUGUAUGAUAAGAGGAGACCCCUUGGAAAGCAAAAACUGGUGGAAUGAGCUAUUCCAUUGCUAGCAGAUGAGGUUAAUUUGAGUAUAAUUAUUGACCCACGACUUCAAAAUAUUGAUUAUCCUUCAAAGGAAGCAUUUAAGUUCGCUCAACUUAUUUCAAACUGUCUUCAAGCAAAACAAGACAAACGCCCAUCAAUGGAAUACAUAGCGCAGGGCUUGCAUCAUUGCUAUCAAAAUGAAAUCAAAAACAGUUUGACUCUUAAAAGUCAAGCAUAAUAGGUCGUAUGUUAAUAGACAUGUAAAUGUAAAGUAUAAAAUCCUGGAAAUCAACCGAAUUAACAAGUAGGGAAGAUAGUAAUGAAUGAA
This is a long non-coding RNA of Lactuca sativa (garden lettuce), 1048 nucleotides long. RefSeq lists it as uncharacterized. The record is from RefSeq and is a predicted model, not a curated record. NCBI's taxonomy places the organism in Eukaryota, Viridiplantae, Streptophyta, Magnoliopsida, Asterales, Asteraceae.